RNAcentral lists this ribosomal RNA (502 nucleotides) under uncultured bacterium. Its description in RNAcentral is "bacterial SSU rRNA". It matches the Rfam family "Bacterial small subunit ribosomal RNA", at positions 8 to 518 of the family's 1533-position model. The record is from RNAcentral.
AGAGUUUGAUCCUGGCUUAGGACGAACGCUGGCGGCGUGCUUAAGACAUGCAAGUCGAGCGGAGCAUUGGAAAGCUGCUUUCGAAUGCUUAGCGGCGGACGGGUGAGUAACGCGUGAGCAACCUGCCCUAUACAUCGGGAUAACGUUUGGAAACGAACGCUAAUACCGGAUAUGACCACAACCCCGCAUGGGGAAAGGGUGAAAGGGUUUACUGGUAUAGGAUGGGCUCGCGUCUGAUUAGCUUGUUGGCGGGGUAACGGCCCACCAAGGCGACGAUCAGUAGCCGACCUGAGAGGGUGAUCGGCCACAUUGGAACUGAGAUACGGUCCAGACUCCUACGGGAGGCAGCAGUCGGGAAUAUUGGGCAAUGGAGGAAAAACCUCUGACCCAGCAACGCCGCGUGAAGGAUGAAGGUCCUCGGAUUGUAAACUUCUGUCCUUGGGGAAAAAUAUUUGAUGGUACCCAAGAAGAAAACCCCGGCAAACUACGUGCCAGCAGCGGC